AACGAACGCUGGCGGCAUGCCUAACACAUGCAAGUCGAACGAUGCCUUCGGGCAUAGUGGCGCACGGGUGCGUAACGCGUGGGAAUCUGCCUUUCGGUUCGGAAUAACUCAGGGAAACUUGAGCUAAUACCGGAUAACGUCGCAAGACCAAAGAUUUAUCACCGAAAGAUGAGCCCGCGUAGGGUUAGCUAGUUGGUGAGGUAAAGGCUCACCAAGGCGACGAUCCUUAGCUGGUCUGAGAGGAUGAUCAGCCACACUGGGACUGAGACACGGCCCAGACUCCUACGGGAGGCAGCAGUGGGGAAUAUUGGACAAUGGGCGAAAGCCUGAUCCAGCAAUGCCGCGUGAGUGAUGAAGGCCUUAGGGUUGUAAAGCUCUUUUACCCGGGAAGAUAAUGACGGUACCGGGAGAAUAAGCCCCGGCUAACUCCGUG
Molecule: ribosomal RNA, 433 nt
Filed under: uncultured bacterium
Lineage: Bacteria
Description: partial 16S ribosomal RNA
Rfam family: Bacterial small subunit ribosomal RNA
Source: RNAcentral